RNAcentral lists this ribosomal RNA (261 nucleotides) under uncultured archaeon. RNAcentral's name for it is "partial 16S ribosomal RNA". It matches the Rfam family "Archaeal small subunit ribosomal RNA", at positions 748 to 1009 of the family's 1478-position model. The record is from RNAcentral.
CAGCCGUAAACUAUGCGCGUUAGGUGUAUCGGUGACCACGAGUUACCGAGGUGCCGAAGGGAAACCGUGAAACGUGCCGCCUGGGAAGUACGGUCGCAAGGCUGAAACUUAAAGGAAUUGGCGGGGGAGUACCACAACGGGUGGAGCCUGCGGUUUAAUUGGACUCAACGCCGGGAAGCUCACCGGAUAAGACAGCGGAAUGAUUGCCGGGCUGAAGACUCUGCAUGACUAGCUGAGAGGAGGUGCAUGGCGUAGACGUCU